This 470-nucleotide unclassified non-coding RNA is filed under the name Hevea brasiliensis (rubber tree). Lineage: Eukaryota; Viridiplantae; Streptophyta; Magnoliopsida; Malpighiales; Euphorbiaceae. The record is from RNAcentral.
AUAGAGGAAUGAUAUGUUUUCCUGGAAAGAAUGCGAAAAGAAGGUUAUUUUAACUAGAAGGAAGCAAGAACACACUAUAAAAAUGUAAGAAAUCUGUAACUACGAUAAACCAUAAUCUAUUUGGACUUCUUAUAAAUUUGUUAUUGUGAACAUCAAACAGUCGUAAAAUUUUGAUGGUUUCAUGAUUGGAUGCAAAAAAUCAUUCUAACAUAUCUAUAUUGAAAAAAAUAAAAAAAACUUUGCACAACAUGUUUCAUUAAACUAAUAAAAACAAACUCUCCACCAUCAAAACGAACUCAGAUUAGAAUUAAAGAGCUAAAAGCAACAAACCCCAUGAAGCUCAAGUUGAUUUUUUGUUUUCUAAGAGCCAAAAGAUAAAUGGAAGUCACCAAACUCUCCAUUGGAUGAAUUAGACCUCAAAUAAUAAUAUAGAAAGUGUUGGAAAACCUGAGAUGAAGGAACUCCGUGAA